GUGGGGAAUAUUGGACAAUGGGCGCAAGCCUGAUCCAGCCAUGCCGCGUGAGUGAUGAAGGCCUUAGGGUUGUAAAGCUCUUUCAGUGGGGACGAUAAUGACGGUACCCACAGAAGAAGCCCCGGCUAACUUCGUGCCAGCAGCCGCGGUAAUACGAAGGGGGCUAGCGUUGUUCGGAUUUACUGGGCGCAAAGCGCACGUAGGCGGAUCGUUAAGUCGGGGGUGAAAUCCUGGAGCUCAACUCCAGAACUGCCUUCGAUACUGGCGAUCUUGAGUCCGGAAGAGGUGAGUGGAACUCCUAGUGUAGAGGUGGAAUUCGUAGAUAUUAGGAAGAACACCAGUGGCGAAGGCGGCUCACUGGUCCGGUACUGACGCUGAGGUGCGAAAGCGUGGGGAGCAAACAGGAUUAGAAACCCUGGUAGUCC
Molecule: ribosomal RNA, 425 nt
Filed under: uncultured bacterium
Lineage: Bacteria
Description: partial 16S ribosomal RNA
Rfam family: Bacterial small subunit ribosomal RNA
Source: RNAcentral